Molecule: ribosomal RNA, 253 nt
Filed under: uncultured bacterium
Lineage: Bacteria
Description: partial 16S ribosomal RNA
Rfam family: Bacterial small subunit ribosomal RNA
Source: RNAcentral
GACGGAGGGUGCUAGCGUUGUUCGGAUUUACUGGGCGUAAAGGGCGCGUAGGCGGCCCUGUCAGUCGGGUGUGAAAGCCCGGGGCUCAACCCCGGAACGGCACCCGAGACGGCAGGGCUGGAGACCGGGAGAGGAGGGUGGAAUAGCCAGUGUAGAGGUGAAAUUCGUAGAUAUUGGCUGGAACACCGGUGGCGAAAGCGGCUCUCUGGCCCGGUUCUGACGCUGAGGCGCGAAAGCGUGGGGAGCAAACAGG